GUUGUUGUGGUUAAAAAGCUCGUAGUUGAACCUUGGGCCUGGCUGGCCGGUCCGCCUCACCGCGUGUACUGGUCCGGCCGGGCCUUUCCCUCUGUGGAACCCCAUGCCCUUCACUGGGCGUGGCGGGGAAACAGGACUUUUACUUUGAAAAAAUUAGAGUGCUCCAGGCAGGCCUAUGCUCGAAUACAUUAGCAUGGAAUAAUGAAAUAGGACGCGCGGUUCUAUUUUGUUGGUUUCUAGGACCGCCGUAAUGAUUAAUAGGGACAGUCGGGGGCAUCAGUAUUCAAUGGUCAGAGGUGAAAUUCUUGGAUCCAUUGAAGACUAACUACUGCGAAAGCAUUUGUCAAGGAUGUUUUCAUUAAUCAGGAACGAAAGUUAGGGGAUCGAAGACGAUCAGAUACCGUCGUAGUCUUAACCAUAAACUAUGCCGACUAGGGAUCGGACGAUGUUAUUUUUUGACUCGUUCGGCACCUUACGAGAAAUCAAAGUGCUUGGGCUCCAGGGGGAGUAUGGUCGCAAGGCUGAAACUUAAAGAAAUUGACGGAAGGGCACCACCAGGGGUGGAGCCUGCGGCUUAAUUUGACUCAACACGGGGAAACUCACCAGGUCCAGACACAAUGAGGAUUGACAGAUUGAGAGCUCUUUCUUGAUUUUGUGGGGUGGUGGUGCAUGGCCGUUCUUAGUUGGUGGAGUGAUUUGUCUGCUUAAUUGCGAUAACGAACGAGACCUUAACCUGCUAAAUAGCCCGUACUGCUCCGGCAGUGCGCCGGCUUCUUAGAGGGACUAUCGGCUCAAGCC
This 798-nucleotide ribosomal RNA is filed under the name Ophiocordyceps sinensis. Its description in RNAcentral is "SSU rRNA". It matches the Rfam family "Eukaryotic small subunit ribosomal RNA", at positions 609 to 1435 of the family's 1831-position model. Lineage: Eukaryota; Fungi; Ascomycota; Sordariomycetes; Hypocreales; Ophiocordycipitaceae. The record is from RNAcentral.